GGUUAAGCGACUAAGCGUACACGGUGGAUGCCCUGGCAGUCAGAGGCGAUGAAGGACGUGCUAAUCUGCGAUAAGCGUCGGUAAGGUGAUAUGAACCGUUAUAACCGGCGAUUUCCGAAUGGGGAAACCCAGUGUGUUUCGACACACUAUCAUUAACUGAAUCCAUAGGUUAAUGAGGCGAACCGGGGGAACUGAAACAUCUAAGUACCCCGAGGAAAAGAAAUCAACCGAGAUUCCCCCAGUAGCGGCGAGCGAACGGGGAGCAGCCCAGAGCCUGAAUCAGUGUGUGUGUUAGUGGAAGCGUCUGGAAAGGCGCGCGAUACAGGGUGACAGCCCCGUACACAAAAAUGCACAUGCUGUGAGCUCGAUGAGUAGGGCGGGACACGUGGUAUCCUGUCUGAAUAUGGGGGGACCAUCCUCCAAGGCUAAAUACUCCUGACUGACCGAUAGUGAACCAGUACCGUGAGGGAAAGGCGAAAAGAACCCCGGCGAGGGGAGUGAAAAAGAACCUGAAACCGUGUACGUACAAGCAGUGGGAGCACGCUUAGGCGUGUGACUGCGUACCUUUUGUAUAAUGGGUCAGCGACUUAUAUUCUGUAGCAAGGUUAACCGAAUAGGGGAGCCGAAGGGAAACCGAGUCUUAACUGGGCGUUAAGUUGCAGGGUAUAGACCCGAAACCCGGUGAUCUAGCCAUGGGCAGGUUGAAGGUUGGGUAACACUAACUGGAGGACCGAACCGACUAAUGUUGAAAAAUUAGCGGAUGACUUGUGGCUGGGGGUGAAAGGCCAAUCAAACCGGGAGAUAGCUGGUUCUCCCCGAAAGCUAUUUAGGUAGCGCCUCGUGAAUUCAUCUCCGGGGGUAGAGCACUGUUUCGGCAAGGGGGUCAUCCCGACUUACCAACCCGAUGCAAACUGCGAAUACCGGAGAAUGUUAUCACGGGAGACACACGGCGGGUGCUAACGUCCGUCGUGAAGAGGGAAACAACCCAGACCGCCAGCUAAGGUCCCAAAGUCAUGGUUAAGUGGGAAACGAUGUGGGAAGGCCCAGACAGCCAGGAUGUUGGCUUAGAAGCAGCCAUCAUUUAAAGAAAGCGUAAUAGCUCACUGGUCGAGUCGGCCUGCGCGGAAGAUGUAACGGGGCUAAACCAUGCACCGAAGCUGCGGCAGCGACGCUUAUGCGUUGUUGGGUAGGGGAGCGUUCUGUAAGCCUGUGAAGGUGUGCUGUGAGGCAUGCUGGAGGUAUCAGAAGUGCGAAUGCUGACAUAAGUAACGAUAAAGCGGGUGAAAAGCCCGCUCGCCGGAAGACCAAGGGUUCCUGUCCAACGUUAAUCGGGGCAGGGUGAGUCGACCCCUAAGGCGAGGCCGAAAGGCGUAGUCGAUGGGAAACAGGUUAAUAUUCCUGUACUUGGUGUUACUGCGAAGGGGGGACGGAGAAGGCUAUGUUGACCGGGCGACGGUUGUCCCGGUUUAAGCGUGUAGGCUGGUUUUCCAGGCAAAUCCGGAAAAUCAAGGCUGAGGCGUGAUGACGAGGCACUACGGUGCUGAAGCAACAAAUGCCCUGCUUCCAGGAAAAGCCUCUAAGCAUCAGGUAACAUCAAAUCGUACCCCAAACCGACACAGGUGGUCAGGUAGAGAAUACCAAGGCGCUUGAGAGAACUCGGGUGAAGGAACUAGGCAAAAUGGUGCCGUAACUUCGGGAGAAGGCACGCUGAUAUGUAGGUGAAGCGACUUGCUCGUGGAGCUGAAAUCAGUCGAAGAUACCAGCUGGCUGCAACUGUUUAUUAAAAACACAGCACUGUGCAAACACGAAAGUGGACGUAUACGGUGUGACGCCUGCCCGGUGCCGGAAGGUUAAUUGAUGGGGUCAGCGCAAGCGAAGCUCUUGAUCGAAGCCCCGGUAAACGGCGGCCGUAACUAUAACGGUCCUAAGGUAGCGAAAUUCCUUGUCGGGUAAGUUCCGACCUGCACGAAUGGCGUAAUGAUGGCCAGGCUGUCUCCACCCGAGACUCAGUGAAAUUGAACUCGCUGUGAAGAUGCAGUGUACCCGCGGCAAGACGGAAAGACCCCGUGAACCUUUACUAUAGCUUGACACUGAACAUUGAGCCUUGAUGUGUAGGAUAGGUGGGAGGCUUAGAAGUGUGGACGCCAGUCUGCAUGGAGCCGACCUUGAAAUACCACCCUUUAAUGUUUGAUGUUCUAACGUUGACCCGUAAUCCGGGUUGCGGACAGUGUCUGGUGGGUAGUUUGACUGGGGCGGUCUCCUCCUAAAGAGUAACGGAGGAGCACGAAGGUUGGCUAAUCCUGGUCGGACAUCAGGAGGUUAGUGCAAUGGCAUAAGCCAGCUUGACUGCGAGCGUGACGGCGCGAGCAGGUGCGAAAGCAGGUCAUAGUGAUCCGGUGGUUCUGAAUGGAAGGGCCAUCGCUCAACGGAUAAAAGGUACUCCGGGGAUAACAGGCUGAUACCGCCCAAGAGUUCAUAUCGACGGCGGUGUUUGGCACCUCGAUGUCGGCUCAUCACAUCCUGGGGCUGAAGUAGGUCCCAAGGGUAUGGCUGUUCGCCAUUUAAAGUGGUACGCGAGCUGGGUUUAGAACGUCGUGAGACAGUUCGGUCCCUAUCUGCCGUGGGCGCUGGAGAACUGAGGGGGGCUGCUCCUAGUACGAGAGGACCGGAGUGGACGCAUCACUGGUGUUCGGGUUGUCAUGCCAAUGGCACUGCCCGGUAGCUAAAUGCGGAAGAGAUAAGUGCUGAAAGCAUCUAAGCACGAAACUUGCCCCGAGAUGAGUUCUCCCUGACUCCUUGAGAGUCCUGAAGGAACGUUGAAGACGACGACGUUGAUAGGCCGGGUGUGUAAGCGCAGCGAUGCGUUGAGCUAACCGGUACUAAUGAACCGUGAGGCUUAACCUUAC
Molecule: ribosomal RNA, 2906 nt
Filed under: Escherichia coli ECA-0157
Lineage: Bacteria; Pseudomonadati; Pseudomonadota; Gammaproteobacteria; Enterobacterales; Enterobacteriaceae
Description: bacterial LSU rRNA
Rfam family: Bacterial large subunit ribosomal RNA
Source: RNAcentral